RNAcentral lists this ribosomal RNA (779 nucleotides) under uncultured bacterium. Its description in RNAcentral is "bacterial SSU rRNA". It matches the Rfam family "Bacterial small subunit ribosomal RNA", at positions 608 to 1398 of the family's 1533-position model. The record is from RNAcentral.
CUAAACUGGGAGACGUCGUUCAAACUACCAAGCUAGAGAAUGGGAGAGGGAAGUGGGAAUUCCGCGGUGUAGUGGUGAAAAUGCGUAGAUAUCCGGAGGAACACCAGUGGCGAAAGCGGCUUCCUAGACCAUUUCUGACGCUUAGACGCGAAAGCUAGGGGAGCGAACGGGAUUAGAGACCCCGGUAGUCCUAGCUGUAAACGAUGUAGACUUGGCGUUGGCGGAGUUAAAUCUGCCAGUGCCGGAGCUAACGCGUUAAGUCUACCGCCUGGGGACUACGACCGCAAGGUUAAAACUCAAAGGAAUUGACGGGGACCCGCACAAGCAGCGGAGCGUGUGGUUUAAUUCGAUGCUACACGAAGAACCUUACCAGGGUUUGACAUGCAAGUGGUAGGAAACUGAAAGGGGACCGACCCUUCGGGGAGCUUGCACAGGUGCUGCAUGGCUGUCGUCAGCUCGUGUCGUGAGAUGUUCGGUUAAGUCCGCUAACGAGCGCAACCCUCACUGUGUGUUACAUGUGUCACACGGGACUGCCGGUUUUAAGCCGGAGGAAGGUGGGGAUGACGUCAAGUCAGCAUGGCCUUUAUAUCCUGGGCUACACACACGCUACAAUGGUCGGUACAAUAGGUUGCCAAGCCGCGAGGCGGAGCCAAUCCAAAAGCCGGCCUCAGUUCAGAUUGUAGGCUGCAACUCGCUNGCAUGAAGAUGGAGUUGCUAGUAACCGCAGGUCAGCAAUACUGCGGUGAAUACGUUCCCGGGUCUUGCACACACCGCCCGUC